Molecule: ribosomal RNA, 497 nt
Filed under: uncultured bacterium
Lineage: Bacteria
Description: partial 16S ribosomal RNA
Rfam family: Bacterial small subunit ribosomal RNA
Source: RNAcentral
GAUGAACGCUGGCGGCGUGCCUAAUACAUGCAAGUCGAGCGAACGGACCAGAAGCUUGCUUCUCUGAUGUUAUCGGCGGACGGGUGAGUAACACGUGGAUAACCUACCUAUAAGACUGGGAUACCUUCGGGAAACCGUAGCUAAUACCGGAUAAUAUUUUGCACCGCAUUGUUCAAAAGUGAAAGACGGUCUUUCUGUCACUUAUAGAUUGAUCCGCGCUGCAUUAGCUAGUUGGUAAGGUAACGGCUUACCAAGGCAACGAUGCAUAGCCGACCUGAGAGGGUGAUCGGACACACUGGAACUGAGAAACGGUACAGACUCCUACGGGAGGCAGCAGUAGGGAAUCUUACGCAAUGGGCGAAAGCGUGACGGAGCAACGCCGCGUGAGUGAUGAAGGUGUUCGGAUCGUAAAACUCUGUUAUUAGGGAAGAACAAAUGUGUAAGUAACUGUGCACAUCUUGACGGUACCUAAUCAGAAAGCCACGGCUAACUACGUG